GUCAGCACCCCGCUCUGAAGAGACGGGGCUUCAUGCCUCCAACUUUAGAUAGCUGACCAGCCUAAGCCUAACGGCUACGUUUUNGAGCGAUAAAAUCAACAAAUCUGUAACGAAAAGUUAACCUGAU
Molecule: small RNA, 127 nt
Filed under: Planktothrix serta PCC 8927
Lineage: Bacteria; Bacillati; Cyanobacteriota; Cyanophyceae; Oscillatoriales; Microcoleaceae
Description: HEARO
Rfam family: HNH endonuclease-associated RNA and ORF (HEARO) RNA
Source: RNAcentral